UGUCGUAACAAGGUUUCCGUAGGUGAACCUGCGGAAGGAUCAUUCACACGCAUCCAAUCGAUUCAUUGUGAACUUCCAAUGUGAGCUUUGUGUGGGGAUGGAAUCAUGUUGCAUCCUGAUGCAGUUGCUCGCGGGUAGUGGAUCAGUAUCGGACCGUCUUCCUUUUCUGAGAAACUACCAUUGUUUUGCUUGAUACUUCUUUGAUAUGUGUUUUCGCAGGCAACUGCUCAAGAAAUAUUAUACAACUUUCAGCGACGGAUGUCUCGGCUCGAACAACGAUGAAGGGCGCAGCGAAGUGUGAUAAGCAUUGUGAAUUGCAGAAUUCCGUGAACCAACAGGGAUUUGAACGUAUACUGCGCUUUCGGGAUAUCCCUGAAAGCAUGCCUGCUUCAGUGUCUACUGAUAUUUCUGCCACAGGAUUCACCAUCUUGGAUGGAUUUGUCUUGUGUGUGUUUCUGUGUGUCAAAACGCGCUCAUGCUUUUGACGCAUUUAAUGCAUAGAUUCAUGCAGCAGUAGACAACUUACGAAACACUUUGAUGUCAGUUGUUGUUUACUGCUUGUGUGUAAUCUUUGUCUGUUUCCUUGCUCAAGACAUGAAGUUAGGUCGGCAAACCCGCUGAAUUUAAGCAUAUAAGUAAGCGGAGGAUAAGAAACUAAAUAGGAUUCCCUUAGUAAUGGCGAAUGAACAGGGAUGAGCUCAGCUUGGAAAUCGGGGCCCUGUGGCCUUGAAUUGUAGUCUUGAGAUGCAUUGCCAACGGAGGCGCAGAUGUAAGCCUCUUGGAAAAGAGCUUCAAUGAGGGUGAGAGUCCCGUUUGUCAUCUGCAGUCCCCUGUGCACGGCGUGCGUUCUAAGAGUCACGUUCCUCGGGAUUGGAGCGCAAAUUGGGUGGUAAAUUUCAUCUAAAGCUAAAUAUUGGUUCGAGACCGAUAGCAGACAAGUACCAUGAGGGAAAAAUGAAAAGGACUUUGAAAAGAGAGUUAAAAGUGCCUGAAAUUGCUGAAAGGGAAGCGAAUGGAACCAGUUGACUUGGUGAGAUUGUCGCAUGCUAAUGUGAUGGCUUGCUGCUGCAGCGCAAGCGCAGCAGUGGGUUCUGAUCUGGACGUGUGUGGUGCUUCUUGCCUUGCGCGUCACCGUUGGUUCAAAUUUGAAGAAAACUCUUGGGACAUGGUAAUUCGCUUGCAGUGAAUGAAUGUGCCAGGCAGUAUUCAUUUUUAGACUAAUUCAUGCAUGUCUGGCUGAAGUGCUUGAGCUUUUUCUAGAACUUCUUCUGGGACCAGUUUAAGUAUCUUUCCUGACAUUAGAACGAUGACUAAAUGGUUUCAUUCGACCCGUCUUGAAACACGGACCAAGGAGUCUAACAUAUGUGCAAGUUCACGGGUGUUAAACCUGCUUGCGCAAUGAAAGUGACUGCUGGGAUACCUGCACCAGCAACCGACCAAUCAAUUGUGAGAGGUUUGAGUAUGAGCAUAUCUGUUAGGACCCGAAAGAUGGUGAACUAUGCGUGA
RNAcentral lists this ribosomal RNA (1506 nucleotides) under Karlodinium veneficum. RNAcentral describes it as "eukaryotic LSU rRNA". The stretch from base 591 to 1506 matches the Rfam family "Eukaryotic large subunit ribosomal RNA", at positions 1 to 840 of the family's 3401-position model. Lineage: Eukaryota; Dinophyceae; Gymnodiniales; Kareniaceae. The record is from RNAcentral.